UUUAAUUUCUGUAUUUAUGGUCGAAUUUAUUCAUUUUUCACCACCCACGCCCUGAUGUGGGUUGGUGCCCGGGUGGGCUAAUCCCUGGGGAAAAAAUUGGUGACAGGCUUCCUGGUGUGAGCUCUGUGGGUUCCGUAAGACAAUUAAGUAGUCUCCCUCCAUGUUAGAGCUUAUAAGAUAGCAGGUUCUCCAGGGCUGAGAAUAAUGGUUACAGUACAGUUUGCUUAACAGCUUUACACUCAGAGGUGGCCUAGAUAUUUAUUUUCUUUAAUAGUCUAUGAGAUACAUACUGUAGAGCAGUGUUCUCUGAUGGGCAAGUGAUCUUUAUUCACAAGUUAGGCUUAAUUUUGCUAUACAGACACACUACAGUUGUAAGGUGCAUGUGGAUUGAUAGACACAAGAUGGCAGAAAUUCCACGAUUGCAAAGUGGGAGAAAUGAAGAAAGUGAAUAAUGAAAAUUUAAAAUAAAUGGAUUUGCAUAGAAUUAGGAUGGUAUAAUAAUGAAGUACUAUACCCGAGUUGUAUCUAACAUAACUGGACUAUUUUAUCAGUACACCGACCAUGGAGACAGUAAUGUAGUAUUUGAGAAAGUUGGGAAACAUCACCCAACAAGAAGAAAGUUGUGGAAGAGGUACAAGUCAUUAUUAAAGUGAAUAGGUUUAGAUAAUUAGCUAAGUGAUGUGUACAACUGGGAUGCAUCUCAUGAGAGCAGUAAUUGCAUGUGAAAUAGACCUGGCGGUUGUAAUGAAUAGUGUAUGUUGAGAAAUAUAUCCAAGCCCCAAAAGACACCGACAGUAUAAGCUUUUGGGAUACAUUAUUUGUCAUGUUAAGAAUAAGAAUACAGACAUUAAUGUGUGGUCAAAUCUAUUUACUGUUCUUGAAUGAAAUGUAAAUGAAAAGUGAUCUUGUUUAUAAAAGACAGUAGGAGUUUGAGUUUUGGUGGCAGGUGGCUUGUGCCUGUCUCAACUAUGGACGUGUCGAGGGAAUAAAGUGAACCUAACAUAGAUACAGUUUUAUGAUGACCAAUAUUCACAAGAAGAGUUCUCUAAAUAAGUCAACAACUUUUUUCCCGUCAAAGCAGUAAUUUAUGAGGAAACUCAGUGUUUACCAUUAAUUGUUUACCCUCACUGUCUGUGUGUAUUGUUUGAAUACAUGUACGGUACUUUAAAUUACGGCAUUCUCUAUAUACACGCUGCUGUGUCCCUCGGCGUGUUUCAGCUCCUUUAAUGGGGUAUAUUGUAUGUCCUAGAAUUAGGACGGCUGUUUGUAAUUGACUGACAGUUUUGUUUUGGGGAUGUCAUUACUUGCCCAAACAAGCUUUAAGGGAUUGCAGUGAUGACAUAACAUAGGAUUUGAUGGUCGUCAUCACCUAGGGCCGCAUCCCUGACUCCUCCAGAGGUGGCAGGUGGGAUAAUGGCUCUUGUCGGUCCAGACUCCACAUGGCCACUCAAGUGACCUAAGGCCACUUCAUGGCCCAGGACACUCAACUUGUUGGUUGGGUGGCCUAUAUUAGGGACUAAAAGACGUCAUUUUCUAAAGGGGUCUGGGAUGGGAUGGUAACUGCCGUCUGUCCAUGGCUCAGGAGUUGUGAAGGCUGACCUUCAAUUUUACAAACUGACAAUCGAAUCUUUUAAAUGAAGCUACAUUACUAUAUGUGUAUUUCAUCUUUGCCCAUUCAUUUUUAGUCCUCAUUUGCUCCUGUUGAGUUUGUCCUUCAUUAUCCAAUGCCAUUUCUGGAUAAAACCUUAAGGUCUCACAUUGACCCGGGCCAAGGAGUGAGGCGCAACAGUGAACAGCUCGUUACCUCCAGCCAGUCUAGGAACUCGAACACAUCAAAGAUGGCGGCCGCUGGAUGAGGAAGUCGCGGCCAUUUGUGUGGACGGGAAAUAAGUCGGUGACAUGAUGUACCAUCUUCCUGAGGCAGUGGACCAGAAGGUAUGACACUGUAGACACUGGGAAGAAUACUUUACUACCAUCACCAAGUGGCAUCAUCAACAUAACCAGCCAACUGAAGUUAACCUGAGAUGGACACAAACUUCACCUGCUGCUGUAUGGUGACAUGAUGUACCAUCUUCCUGAGGCAGUGGACCAGAAGGUAUGACACUGUAGACACUGGGAAGAAUACUUUACUACCAUCACCAAGUGGCAUCAUCAACAUAACCAGCCAACUGAAGUUAACCUGAGAUGGACACAAACUUCACCUGCUGCUGUAUGGUGACAUGAUGUACCAUCUUCCUGAGGCAGUGGACCAGAAGGUAUGACACUGUAGACACUGGGAAGAAUACUUUACUACCAUCACCAAGUGGCAUCAUCAACAUAACCAGCCAACUGAAGUUAACCUGAGAUGGACAAACUUCACC
Long non-coding RNA from Homarus americanus (American lobster), 2360 nucleotides. RefSeq lists it as uncharacterized. NCBI's taxonomy places the organism in Eukaryota, Metazoa, Arthropoda, Malacostraca, Decapoda, Nephropidae. The record is from RefSeq and is a predicted model, not a curated record. The transcript has 5 exons.